Long non-coding RNA from Salvelinus fontinalis (brook trout), 2877 nucleotides. RefSeq lists it as uncharacterized. NCBI's taxonomy places the organism in Eukaryota, Metazoa, Chordata, Actinopteri, Salmoniformes, Salmonidae. The transcript has 4 exons. The record is from RefSeq and is a predicted model, not a curated record.
UGAGAAGUUCGAUCCGGUGUGGCUUUGUAACACGUGAGUUAUCUGAGCUGCACUGAAAAGUAAUUCAGUUUUGGAGAAAAUACUGUAGUUGUUUAGACACGGCCACCGAAGAGAUUUGAGAUCUCCUGGUCCAGCCUGAUAUCUCCCUGACUCAAUGGGAGGGGUCUCCAGGGGCCACCAGGAGCCCGAGGUGUUCAGGGGCCACAGCUUCACCCUCACCUAUUCCACUUAGCCACAGUACCCAGGAGGCUCCUUCCUCCUCACGUUCCCCGGCUCCAACAGAACCCAGACAGCUGUCAAUCCCUCUGCUGCCUUCCUCUUCCCCGCUGUAAAUGACUCCCACCAAAAUAAUUACAGCUGUGUUUAUGAGAAUUAUGUUUUCUCUCAUAACUUCUACUAUGAGAGUUCCUCUCCCUCACAGCCUCUCCUCUGCCCACCUUCAUCAUCAGACAUGUUGUAGUGCUGCUGAUCCUACUGACAGCCAUCACUGCCUUCUACUUGUACUUCAAGACCACCAGAAGGCAGAAGAGUGAGUGACUCACAGCAAGGACUGACCAACACAGGAGGAAAAACAGAAUACACAAAUACCAAAAGUCCUAUUUUUUUUUAUUUUUUUUAAAUACAGAAAUCCAAUAGAAAUCACAUUGGAACCCAAAUAAGAGAGGGGAAAAAUAUGUAAAGGGAGAAAAAAAAUAAGAAAAAAAGAACAGAAAACAUUUGCCACUCAUACUGCACUCCUGGUAACCUUUUGACCUCUUGUCACCGUGGGAAACAGGCUUCAUCUGAUCUUUUAAGGAGCUCCUCUGAUUUGCUGAGACAGAGUCCAAGCAAAGAGAAAGCAUGAAGUAUUGACCAAUUCCAUAUCGAAAUGCGUCACAAGAUGGCGGGUACGCCCGAAUGGUUGUCAGACUUAGAGAUGGAGUCAGGGGUACCCAUAGAGGACGGUAAGAAGGUGGGAGGAAAAAAGGAAGAAAGUGGAGCAUAAUAGGAUGAAUUAACUGCGGUGGCAGGUGCAGUGAAGAACGCUGAGUUUGAGCCUCAUUCAGAUGGUGAUAAAGAUGAUUUUUCCCCAGUGGGAGUGAGAUUUUUGUAGAGAAUGGGUCCUUGCCUUCUGGCUGAUCUAUAUGUGGUGUCAGGUUGGUUGGGGAAUGUUGGGUCGGUGAAAAUGACUCGAAGUGGAAUCGUGUCGAUUUUUGCGUUUCUGCCGUCCAGAGGGAGUAUGUGCUCCACAGCACACCACUGGGGGACUGUGACUUGCUUUCCUCUCCGGAGCAGGGCACCAUUGAAAGCACUGAUAACUGGAGUGGCGUUAAAGGGGAAUUUCACCCUGGGGAAUCUGGCCUUUUUUCAUCGUAUGAGGCAUUUCUAGGUCAGUGAAAUGUGUUUCACACAUAAUUGCCCAGGAGGAAGGCACGUCUGGGCUUUGCACACUGAAUGAUACACCAUAGGCGGCUUCCGGUGUAUUGAUGGGAGGCUUUUUUGAAAGGGAGGGGGACACUAACAACACAAUCCAUUGGGAAAAACUGAAAGUACUGACCAGACCACAUGACUUCAAGUGAUACCUCUCAUCAACACAAAUUCGAAGAUGACAUUCAACCAUACAUGUUUCAACCUGAAUAUAGCGAAGAAGAUUCGAAACAAAGAGUUGGAUUUAGCUAGAAGCUCAGCUAAAGCUUAUGCCAGUACCUAGAGGGCAGAUGACAAAUAAGGUGGCUAGCUAAGUACGUUAUUCUUCCUGGAAGCCACCUAGAUAGCUAGCUAACUUGAGUUUAUUUACUGAAACCUAUAUUGUGUAUUGCAGGCUAACAUACUACUGCGUUACAGUGGGGAUAAAUCUAUUUCUAGGUAGCUAGGUAGGUAGGUAGCUAGCUAUUCUGGCUAAGUUAGCUAAACAACUACAGGUAGCCAUAUCUAGGCCAAAAAAAUAGAAGAGGUUUUACAAUCAGAGAUCUAUUGUAUCUUGAUUGUAAAACCUCUUCUCUUUCUAAUUGUAGAUAUGGCUAUUAAACAGCAAGCUAUAACAUUACAACCAGCCACCUAAAGCUAGGUUACCAGUAAAUGUUAGCACAUGACUGGAGUUGGCUAGCUAGUUAGCACGUUUGUAACUUUUUAGCAAAUGUAAAUAGUCAGCAACUGUAAAUAGUUUUACUAGCUAGCUAUGUAACAUAAUUGACAAGGGUUGACAUUGAUUAUGAUUAUGACCGUGGAUGCAUUUUAAAAUCACAAAAUUAUAGGCAUGACGCAAUAUAGGAUUCCAAACAUUGUAAAUAACAAUUAUUGACUAUCCAGCAAGCUAGCUAGCUAAGUUAACCAUCUCACAGUGAGGAGAAACAAUAAUACAAACAUUUAACUGUUGUAAAUCUCUAAAACUGAUAAGCUGGUUUUACUAUCAAAUAUUUACCUAUGCAUGCCUGUUAGACAUGGCUGUAGCUAGAUAUUGUCUGCCUACCUACCUAGGUACAUAUGUCCAGUCUGGUCACUGUGCAAAGCUUGAGGGUUAUGCCAUAUUUCUUUCUAUUAGGCUAGAUAUUGUUCUAAAUGUCAUCUCUGUGCCUAUGCACAUGUAUGCAUGUUCAACUAGUCUACCCUAAUGGUGUUACGCUGGCACAGUUCAACUGUCGUUCAAACCUUGCAAUGGAUAUCAUUUAUCUUUUUUGUCUUACAGACAAUAAUGUGUGGUGCCUGGGUUUCUUUCUGGAGUGGAUUCUUGGAGUGAAACAUAAUUCAUUUACCUACGUGUCAUUGUAGCAGAACUGUGAAUUUAGAAAAUGUUCCGUUAUUAAAAUAAAUGUUUUCUCCAUUAAGUAAUCCAUCACCAUCUUAUCUGUUUCUUCUCUCAAUGAUCAAGACAGGUGAGUGUCCACCCCAAAGUGCUGC